CAGUAGCCGCGGGAAAACGAGGGGGGCAAGCGUUGUUCGGAAUGACUGGGCGUAAAGGGCGCGUAGGCGGUUCGUACAGUCGGAUGUGAAAUUCCUGGGCUUAACCUGGGGACUGCAUUCGAUACGUGCGGGCUUGAGUGUGGAAGAGGGUUGUGGAAUUCCCAGUGUAGAGGUGAAAUUCGUAGAUAUUGGGAAGAACACCGGUGGCGAAGGCAGCCCCCUGGGCCAAUACUGACGCUCGCGCACGAAAGCGUGGGGAGCAAACAGGAUUAGAUACCCCAGUAGUCCCUGUCUCUUAUAC
This 301-nucleotide ribosomal RNA is filed under the name uncultured bacterium. Its description in RNAcentral is "partial 16S ribosomal RNA". It matches the Rfam family "Bacterial small subunit ribosomal RNA", at positions 509 to 807 of the family's 1533-position model. The record is from RNAcentral.